This 253-nucleotide ribosomal RNA is filed under the name uncultured bacterium. Its description in RNAcentral is "partial 16S ribosomal RNA". It matches the Rfam family "Bacterial small subunit ribosomal RNA", at positions 524 to 776 of the family's 1533-position model. The record is from RNAcentral.
GACGGGGGAUGCAAGCGUUAUCCGGAAUCACUGGGCGUAAAGCUUCUUUAGGUGGUGAUGCAAGUCACUGGUGCAAAACUCUGGCUCAAUCGGAGGAAAGCCAGUGAAACUGCAUGACUAGAGUGUGGGAGAGGUAGAAGGAAUUCCCUGAGUAGCGGUGAAAUGCGUAGAUACAGGGAAGAACACCGGAGGCGAAAGCGUUCUACGGGAACACAAAUGACAUUGAGAGACGAAAGCUAGGGGAGCGAAUGGG